CGAAGGGGGCUAGCGUUGUUCGGAAUCACUGGGCGUAAAGCGUGCGCAGGCGGCUAUGCAAGUCAGGGGGUGAAAUGCCAAGGCUUAACCUUGGAACUGCCUUUGAAACUGCAUAGCUAGAGUCCCGGAGGGGUUAGUGGAAUUCCUAAUGUAGCAGUGAAAUGCGUAGAUAUUAGGAGGAACACCAGUGGCGAAGGCGGCUAACUGGACGGGUACUGACGCUCAUGCACGAAAGCGUGGGGAUCAAACAGGAUUAGAUACCCUGGUAGUCCACGCCCUAAACGAUGGGUGCUAGCCGUUGGGAGUUCAGCUCUCGGUGGCGUAGCUAACGCGUUAAGCACCCCGCCUGGGGAGUACGGUCGCAAGACUA
RNAcentral lists this ribosomal RNA (370 nucleotides) under uncultured organism. Its description in RNAcentral is "bacterial SSU rRNA". It matches the Rfam family "Bacterial small subunit ribosomal RNA", at positions 526 to 896 of the family's 1533-position model. The record is from RNAcentral.